UUCUUAUCCAGAUUGGUAAAGGGAAUGGCCCUGCGAAGCCAAAGCAACAGGCUGCAAGCCGCAGUACUGUGCUAAUUCCAGGUGUUUGUCACCGAAGAUAAGAA
This is a regulatory RNA element of Bacillus gobiensis, 104 nucleotides long. It matches the Rfam family "SAM riboswitch aptamer (S box leader)". Rfam says of the family: The SAM riboswitch is found upstream of a number of genes which code for proteins involved in methionine or cysteine biosynthesis in Gram-positive bacteria. The record is from Rfam. NCBI's taxonomy places the organism in Bacteria, Bacillati, Bacillota, Bacilli, Caryophanales, Bacillaceae.